GGGUUGUGAGGUUAAGCGACCAAGCGUACACGGUGGAUGCCCUGGCAGUCAGAGGCGAUGAAGGACGUGCUAAUCUGCGAAAAGCGCCGGUAAGGUGAUAUGAACCGUUAUAACCGGCGAUGUCCGAAUGGGGAAACCCAGUGUGACUCGUCACACUAUCAUUAACUGAAUCCAUAGGUUAAUGAGGCGAACCGGGGGAACUGAAACAUCUAAGUACCCCGAGGAAAAGAAAUCAACCGAGAUUCCCCCAGUAGCGGCGAGCGAACGGGGAGGAGCCCAGAGCCUGAAUCAGCAUGUGUGUUAGUGGAAGCGUCUGGAAAGGCGCGCGAUACAGGGUGAGAGCCCCGUACACAAAAGCGCACAUGCUGUGAGCUCGAUGAGUAGGGCGGGACACGUGGUAUCCUGUCUGAAUAUGGGGGGACCAUCCUCCAAGGCUAAAUACUCCUGACUGACCGAUAGUGAACCAGUACCGUGAGGGAAAGGCGAAAAGAACCCCGGCGAGGGGAGUGAAACAGAACCUGAAACCGUGUACGUACAAGCAGUGGGAGCC
This 550-nucleotide ribosomal RNA is filed under the name Salmonella enterica subsp. enterica. RNAcentral describes it as "bacterial LSU rRNA". It matches the Rfam family "Bacterial large subunit ribosomal RNA", at positions 1 to 581 of the family's 2925-position model. The record is from RNAcentral. RNAcentral also lists the same sequence under 4 other names. Lineage: Bacteria; Pseudomonadati; Pseudomonadota; Gammaproteobacteria; Enterobacterales; Enterobacteriaceae.